AGCAACAUCACAAUGAUGAUUGCUCUCCUUAUUUUUCUUUACUUCCAAAUUACUAUGUCACGUCCAUAUUUGAGAAUAUUAUCCAAAAUCUUCUGCUUACUAUUCUUUAAACAAGAAAUAAAUUGUUUUGUGUUUGUUUGUAGAUAAAUAUGUAUAUUAUGCAGUGAAUUUGAAGUUGGUGAAUAUAUGUAACACAUGUAAUACAUACAUUUGGAAUAAUGUGUUACAUAAAACAUAAUAAAAACAAAAAUAAAAAUGCAAAAUCCAAGCCACAUUGCUAUAUAACGAUAAUAUUCUGUGUUUCUUGGUCAUCCUAUUUCUUUCGCGCGCAAAAGAAUAAACGGUAUAGUCGAUUCGCAGCAUCACGGGGGUAUCAUCCAGAGUAUCGAAGGACAGUAGCACAUCCGCUCGUGCACACGAUCGUACACCCUCGGGAGUCCUCGUAGCUCUUCGUGAAUCCGUUCGUGGACCGCCUGGGGGCCCUACGAGCGUAAUACCGGUAGCCACUACGCCAAAAGGGUCGCAUUCGCACAGGAACAGAGAAAAAAAAAGAAAGAUAGAAGUAUACAGAUAGAGGGAGACAGAAUGAAAGAAGCAACCGAGAACGGAAUAUCCAGAGCCGAGCCUGAGAGAGAAUAGGCUGUAGACUUGAGAGAACUGGCAUCUUUUCUUCAAGAUACAUUCAAACUUAAAAAAAAUGAACAGAGAAAGAACGGAGCGGGGGAGGAGAGAGGAAGUCACUGGCAGCGGCCACUACAGGCACGGAGCCACAGGGGGAAGGAGUGGAGGAAAAGUGAGGAGGGGGACAGGAUUCGAACGGACGGGAGACAUUCCAAUCUCUCGUGGCAAGCUUGCCUGCUUUGCUUCGUUCGCUUGUCUGCUUGUCCGUUUGCCAAGAUAUCGUCGUCCUAAAGCCGACCCACGCUACAUCAAAUUACAUCGUAACCAUAUAAUCUCAUAUGAUUAUUAAAGUCGAUUUUGAAGAAAAAAGUAUUUCUUAAAAAUCUAGAUAUAUGUAUAUACAUCGUAUACGUCCUCAAGUAAAGAAGAAAUUCGAUGAUAUACGUUCGAACGAUGUCCAAGAUAAUACAGGUUAUGUAACAUCAUUUUAAUGAUAUUCCACUUAUAGAUACUUUUAUAUAGAAUUCGUUUUUUUUACAUAUUUACAUAAAAAAAUUUUUUAAACAAAUUUUAAAUAAAUUUAGAAAUUAAUUUAAAAAAAAUGAUCGGAAUUUGGUUUUACUAAGUAUACCCAUGAUGAUGUCAAUAACUACGAAACCGUUAUGACGCAUAUGCAGAUGUAAAAGAAUGUCCUUGGCGAAAUACGUUUGUUAUGUAUAUAUAUAUAUAUAUAUAGUAAGUAUAUAAUAUUUCGAGCAAAAAUAUAUGUCAUAUAUUUCAGUAUUCGAUAUAUAUAUUUUUUCGACAAAUAAACUUGUGCUUGCAUAACUAAAUAAAGCCAACAUUGCUUUGGAACAUUAAACUUGUUAAUAUACUUUAAAAUUAACAAUCAGACGCCGGCUAAUUGUUCUUAUUUACUAGGAAUGAUGAUACUUUUUAUUUUGCAUAGAUUAAUGUGAACAAGAAUAUAUUGAAUAUAUUGAUCAGUGAUAAUCAUCAUGAGAAAUCUAGUUUGAUUAUAGAGUAAAAUUCCUUAUUUUUUAAAAAUAAAAUUUUCAAAUUUAACAAAGUUUCAAACUGCAGAAAUUAACAAAUUUAUGAGUUUUUAAAUAUUAUGAACUAAUGUCGAAUGUUAUUUUAUAUGUAUAUUAUAUAUAAUGUAUGAACAUCUGUUCUCCAGUUAUAUGAAUCAAUGAAAACAGAAACAUAAUGUAUUAAAUUAAUGCACUACAUAAUUCGAAAAAUAAAAUAUAUAAUUGAAUUAUAGUCUUGAUAUUUUAAUAAAAAAAAAAAUUUUUCUUUAA
Apis cerana (Asiatic honeybee) is the source of this 1925-nucleotide long non-coding RNA. RefSeq lists it as uncharacterized. Lineage: Eukaryota; Metazoa; Arthropoda; Insecta; Hymenoptera; Apidae. The record is from RefSeq and is a predicted model, not a curated record.